AUCCACAAGCCAAGGAAUGCCCAGGUCAGCCAACGGCAUUGGAGGCUGAGAGAAAGGCCUGGAGCAGACUCUCCCCUAGAGCCUCGGUGGAGAGCAUGCCUUGCUGAUGCCUUGAUUUCUGACUUUUCACCUCCAGACUGGGAGGGAAUGAAUUUCUGUUGUGAUGAGCCACCCAGACUGUGACCCGUUGUCACAGCAGUCCCAGGGGAUUAACACCAAGAGCCCCUUCCUGGCACCAUUAUCAGAAGCUGCUCAGAGGAAAAAUUGGGUUUUAGUUGUCAUCUUGUUGCUUGUCUGUGCUUCUGAAAUUACAGUUAAGUGAGCAUCCAAAGGCUCUUCUCAAUCCCAAAGCCCACCCCUCCGCUUCUGCCCUUCAAGUGGUAUCAGUGGAGCACUGCGUGGUUAGGACUUUCGGCGUAAGAGACAAUUAAUCAAAGUUAAUGGACACUUCUUUGUUACACAACACGACUAAUGUCAAUGGCAAACAAAUCACUGAAAAACAAUGACCAAUAAACCCAACUGAAAGGUUUUUCCAUUGAAAAUAAAAUCAACCAUGCCUAAUCU
Molecule: long non-coding RNA, 564 nt
Organism: Homo sapiens (human)
Lineage: Eukaryota; Metazoa; Chordata; Mammalia; Primates; Hominidae
Source: Ensembl